AGAACGAACGCUGGCGGCAUGCCUAAUACAUGCAAGUCGAACGAACUCUUCGGAGUUAGUGGCGCACGGGUGCGUAACGCGUGGGAAUCUGCCCCUUGGUUCGGAAUAACAGUUGGAAACGACUGCUAAUACCGGAUGAUGACGAAAGUCCAAAGAUUUAUCGCCAAGGGAUGAGCCCGCGUAGGAUUAGCUAGUUGGUGAGGUAAAGGCUCACCAAGGCAACGAUCCUUAGCUGGUCUGAGAGGAUGAUCAGCCACACUGGGACUGAGACACGGCCCAGACUCCUACGGGAGCGAGCAGGUAGGGAAUAGUUAGGACAAGUGGGACGAAAGCCUGAUCCAGCAAUGCCGCGUGAGUGAUGAAGCGUUAGGUAGUAAGUCUCUUUACCGAGAU
RNAcentral lists this ribosomal RNA (393 nucleotides) under uncultured soil bacterium. Its description in RNAcentral is "bacterial SSU rRNA". It matches the Rfam family "Bacterial small subunit ribosomal RNA", at positions 26 to 444 of the family's 1533-position model. The record is from RNAcentral.